CCUACGGGAGGCAGCAGUGAGGAAUAUUGGUCAAUGGGCGAGAGCCUGAACCAGCCAAGUAGCGUGAAGGAUGACUGCCCUAUGGGUUGUAAACUUCUUUUAUAAAGGAAUAAAGUCGGGUAUGGAUACCCGUUUGCAUGUACUUUAUGAAUAAGGAUCGGCUAACUCCGUGCCAGCAGCCGCGGUAAUACGGAGGAUCCGAGCGUUAUCCGGAUUUAUUGGGUUUAAAGGGAGCGUAGAUGGAUGUUUAAGUCAGUUGUGAAAGUUUGCGGCUCAACCGUAAAAUUGCAGUUGAUACUGGAUGUCUUGAGUACAGUAGAGGCAGGCGGAAUUCGUGGUGUAGCGGUGAAAUGCUUAGAUAUCACGAAGAACUCCGAUUGCGAAGGCAGCCUGCUAGACUGUAACUGACACUGAUGCUCGAAAGUGUGGGUAUCAAACAGGAUUAGAUACCCUAGUAGUC
Molecule: ribosomal RNA, 460 nt
Filed under: Acinetobacter baumannii
Lineage: Bacteria; Pseudomonadati; Pseudomonadota; Gammaproteobacteria; Moraxellales; Moraxellaceae
Description: bacterial SSU rRNA
Rfam family: Bacterial small subunit ribosomal RNA
Source: RNAcentral